This 392-nucleotide ribosomal RNA is filed under the name uncultured bacterium. RNAcentral describes it as "partial 16S ribosomal RNA". It matches the Rfam family "Bacterial small subunit ribosomal RNA", at positions 523 to 918 of the family's 1533-position model. The record is from RNAcentral.
AUACGGAGGAUCCGAGCGUUAUCCGGAUUUAUUGGGUUUAGAGGGUGCGCAGGCGGCCAUUUAAGUCAGCGGUUAAAUCGUGGGGCUCAACCCCAUUCUGCCGUUGAUACUGGGUGGCUUGAUUGCGGUCGAGGUUGGCGGAAUUCGUUGUGUAGCGGUGAAAUGCAUAGAUAUGACGAAGAACACCGAUUGCGUAGGCAGCUGACCAGACCGCAAAUGACGCUCAUGCACGAAAGUGCGGGGAUCGAACAGGAUUAGAUACCCUGGUAGUCCGCACAGUAAACGAUGAAUACUUGUUUUCGGCGAUAUAAUGUCGGAGGCAAAGCGAAAGCGAUAAGUAUUCCACCUGGGGAGUACGCUGGCAACGGUGAAACUUAAAGGAAUUGACGGGG